AUCGGGAGGCGACAGUAGGGAAUCUUCCGCAAUGGACGAAAGUCUGACGGAGCAACGCCGCGUGAGCGAAGAAGGUCUUCGGAUCGUAAAGCUCUGUUGUCCAGGGAAGAACAAGUACGAGAGUAACUGCUCGUAUCCUUGACGGUACCUGGCCAGAAAGCCACGGCUAACUACGUGCCAGCAUGCCGCG
This 190-nucleotide ribosomal RNA is filed under the name uncultured bacterium. Its description in RNAcentral is "partial 16S ribosomal RNA". It matches the Rfam family "Bacterial small subunit ribosomal RNA", at positions 340 to 519 of the family's 1533-position model. The record is from RNAcentral.